This 366-nucleotide ribosomal RNA is filed under the name uncultured bacterium. RNAcentral describes it as "bacterial SSU rRNA". It matches the Rfam family "Bacterial small subunit ribosomal RNA", at positions 362 to 760 of the family's 1533-position model. The record is from RNAcentral.
UAUUGGACAAUGGGCGAAAGCCUGAUCCAGCAAUGCCGCGUGAGUGAUGAAGGCCCUAGGGUUGUAAAGCUCUUUUACCCGGGAAGAUAAUGACUGUACCGGGAGAAUAAGCCCCGGCUAACUCCGUGCCAGCAGCCGCGGUAAUACGGAGGGGGCUAGCGUUGUUCGGAAUUACUGGGCGUAAAGCGCACGUAGGCGGCUUUGUAAGUCAGAGGUGAAAGCCUGGAGCUCAACUCCAGGACUGCCUUUGAGACUGCAUCGCUUAAUCCAGGAGAGGUCAGUGGAGUUCCGAGUGAGAGGUAAAUUCGAGUUUCGAAGACACCAGUGGCGAGGCGGCUGCUGGCUGGUUAGCGUGUGUGAGAGAGA